GCCAAGAGAAAAGGACGGUAAGGACACCUCGGUCACAACAGAUCCUAACAGUUCUAAGUGUGAAGCAGCAGCUUGAAUAGAGGAAACUACUCCAGGGUCAACACCUUCACCAAGUGUUUCUCGAAUCAAUCCAACCUUCAGUCCCUUCAAAGGUUUUGGUGAUGCAUAGUCCAGAGAAGCCAACUUAUUUGCAUAGUUAGGUACCUCCCGG
RNAcentral lists this unclassified non-coding RNA (211 nucleotides) under Hevea brasiliensis (rubber tree). Lineage: Eukaryota; Viridiplantae; Streptophyta; Magnoliopsida; Malpighiales; Euphorbiaceae. The record is from RNAcentral.